Chenopodium quinoa (quinoa) is the source of this 158-nucleotide long non-coding RNA. RefSeq lists it as uncharacterized. Lineage: Eukaryota; Viridiplantae; Streptophyta; Magnoliopsida; Caryophyllales; Amaranthaceae. The transcript has 3 exons. The record is from RefSeq and is a predicted model, not a curated record.
AGGUACCAUGUUGUGGAUUUGCGAGGAAGGGUAUGUUAAGGCUAUCAAGGAGGAGAUCAGCAAGGUUGUCAAGCUCCAAGAAGAACUUGACAUUGAUGUCCUUGUUCACGGAGAGCCUGAGAGGAACGAUAUGGUUAAGUACUUUGGAGAGAAAUUUU